This 1758-nucleotide long non-coding RNA is filed under the name Panax ginseng (ginseng). RNAcentral's name for it is "long non-coding RNA (PGIN_LNC012848)". Lineage: Eukaryota; Viridiplantae; Streptophyta; Magnoliopsida; Apiales; Araliaceae. The record is from RNAcentral.
AAAAAGUAAUGAUAUGUUGCCAUUUUUAUAUUACCAAACUAUAUAUAUAGAAUCAUCUAGAACUAGAGUCUAGAUAGAAGACUACUGGACUGGUCCACAACUCUUCCACGAAAUCUUGGUACUCUUGUUACCGAACGGAAUACCAACAGGCAACAGCUCUUCCAAAUAUUUCAGAUAGACACACAGAGGCCAGAGCAAAACAACUUGAUGACCACGAAGACGUUACCGAACGGAAUACCACGAACGGAAUAGCAACAGUACUCUUGUUACCGAACGGAAUACCACGAACGGAAUAGCAACAGUACUCUUGUUACCGAACGGAAUACCACGAAGUCUUGUACUCUUGUUACCCAUUUGGCCAUUUGGGGUUUGUAAGUAACUUGUUCUCCUUAAAAGGAUUCAACUACAAUCCCCAUCCCAUCGGCCAUCGCUGUUUCCGUUUCCAGUCCGGAUUCCAGAUCAUGGGCACACCUAGCAGCAGCUUUGAUUCCAGAUCCAAUGAGCACAUCUAGCAGCAGCUUUGAUUUCAGAUCUGUUUUCCAGUUCAAAUUCCAGGUCAUGGGCACACUUAUUGUACAGAGGUUUCGUGAUGUCAUGAUUCACUGUGAUGGGUGGUGAAUCUGGGUUCAUGUUCUACUCAUUUGGGUUUGCUGUUUUUGAUUGUAAGUUUGAAUUGGGCAAGAUUUUAUUGAUGUUAUUGAUGUUUAUUCGGCUGAUUUGGUGAUUUUGCUUUCAAUCAGUUUUAAUUUUGGCUGGUUCGGUUAUUAACCGAAUUACCGAAUUUUCAAUUUGGUAAUUCGAGAUUCGGUAAUUCGGUUAUUUCUAAAAUUCGGUUAAUUUUUCGAAUAUUGAAAUUACGAUUAUUUCGAUAUUCGGUUAUAAUCGAAUAGCCUAUUCGGUUCGGUUAUAACCGAAUGAUCAGUCCUGGUGAAAAUGAUUGAAAUGUGUAGUAGAGAGGAAACAUAUUUUUCAAUAAAAACAAAAUUGCACAAACCUUGAAAUUGCUGACAAAGCAGUGACAAGCUUGGCCUCAACUCAGCCCUUCAAAUCUCUAGAAAACAAACUCCAUACUUUCUCCGUAUUCUUAAUUUUGCAAAUAACCAAAAGCGUAACCAUGCAAGAAACAUAAUUCCACCUUUCAUUCAAUCAAGAAGCUCACACAAUACCUAAAAAUAAACGAAUUCUAAAAUGCAUUAUUGCUCUCAGGCAUUCCAUCAAACAGAUGCCGAGCAUUAACUAUUAGUCACCACAGAUUUUGAAGAUCACAUUUUGAUAGAAUAUGUAUAUAUUUUAAAAGUAGUUAUUUGUAUUUAUUAGUUUCUUGAUUAUUAGCCUACACCUUUGUCAAUCAAUGAAAGCAAGAGGGAAUUAUAUUCUUUUAUGGUAUCAAAGCCUAAGAUUUCUUUCUCUCUCGCUUCCGCAACCUUCAUUACCUUCCCCAUCAUCCUCCUUCCUUUUCACUGCGUUGUCGUCCAUCAUGGCCGAAACUCCCAAAUUUCAUCCUGCCUUGGCUAUCACCAAUGUGAAAACUCUCAUCCCCAUCACCAAAUUUCAUCCUGCCUUAGCUAUCACCAAUGUGAAAACUCUCAUCCCCAUCACAUUGGACUUGGAAUCAGGACAAUACCAUUCAUGGGCGGCGUUAUUCAAGGUUCAAGCAAAGGUUCAUGACGUGCUUGAACAUAUCAUCCCACCUACGGAUGCAAAGGAGAAAGCUGUAUGACAAGGCCAAAGCCAAUGAUCUCCCUCUAUGGAAACAGC